Mesocricetus auratus (golden hamster) is the source of this 901-nucleotide long non-coding RNA. RefSeq lists it as uncharacterized. NCBI's taxonomy places the organism in Eukaryota, Metazoa, Chordata, Mammalia, Rodentia, Cricetidae. The transcript has 2 exons. The record is from RefSeq and is a predicted model, not a curated record.
GUGUAGAUUCCUGAUGCCUCAGAGCAAAAUGAAUUGGGAAUAUGGCUUGUGCCUUUGAAAAAGGUCCUAGGUAUAUCCUGAUAGAAUACAAAAUAUACCAACAGUCACAAGGGAGCUAAAGAACUGUAUGAGAACCGAGGAAAAGGGUAGCUGCUCCAGUUUUCUUUGUUAGCUUGUUUCUGGGGCAUCAGGAAACAAAUAAAGAAGAAAAUAUUCAAAAUGGCUGCUGGGGCACAGCCAGAGUUUGCAGAAGAUUCAAGGGAAUGUGGAAAGCAGAAUUGGAGGAACGGAUUGUGAUCAGAGAACUUCAGCAUCAGACAAGCUUGGAGGAAAAAUAAUGAAGAGUUCCUCUGGGAGCAAGCCCAACCCAAAUGGAAUUCGAGGCACAAGAAGAGGAGGAGGAAGGGCUCAAAGGGAAAAGCGAUGCCUCAAUUUACACCUGAAGAGGAAUCAAUGGAACCAACAUGAAUGAGGGAGGAAUGAUUGUAGAGUCCCUGAAAGGGGUGAUAUCACAUGCAGCCUACACCGAUGCAACUGAGGUUGAAAUGUUGGUAGGUACAAACUAGACAUGGUUACCUUUUCCUCUAUGGCAUGGGAUGUGGUUUCCUUGCCUUACUAACAGUUCCAUGCUCCUUUGCAAUGGAUGAGAAGACAUGCAACCAAGACUGAGGCAUCUGAGAAUGGAGUGACCUUGGGGGCAUCCCAGGAUGGCUAUCUUCCUCAUCAGCUAUGGGUGGUUGCCUUGCUGAUGAACUGAAUUUGCUCCCUGAGUACAGAGACACCUCCCUUCAAGACAGCUGCAAUCCCUACAAGUAGCAUGCAUGUGACAUGAUUGUAAGAAAGUUGUGGUGGCUGUUGCAUGAUCUUUGCUAUAGACAAUAAAACAUGCAAUUUGAUUUCA